AGUGAACGCUGGCGGUAGGCCUAACACAUGCAAGUCGAACGGCAGCACAGUAAGAGCUUGCUCUUACGGGUGGCGAGUGGCGGACGGGUGAGGAAUACAUCGGAAUCUAAUUUUUCGUGGGGGAUAACGUAGGGAAACUUACGCUAAUACCGCAUACGACCUACGGGUGAAAGCAGGGGAUCUUCGGACCUUGCGCGAUUGAAUGAGCCGAUGUCGGAUUAGCUAGUUGUCGGGGUAAAGGCCCACCAAGGCGACGAUCCGUAGCUGGUCUGAGAGGAUGAUCAGCCACACUGGAACUGAGACACGGUCCAGACUCCUACGGGAGGCAGCAGUGGGGAAUAUUGGACAAUGGGCGCAAGCCUGACCCAGCCAUACCGCGUGGGUGAAGAAGGCCUUCGGGUUGUAAAGCCCUUUUGUUGGGAAAGAAAAGCAGCAGGUUAAUACCCCGCUGUUCUGACGGUACCCAAAGAAUAAGCACCGGCUAACUUCGUG
RNAcentral lists this ribosomal RNA (492 nucleotides) under uncultured bacterium. Its description in RNAcentral is "partial 16S ribosomal RNA". It matches the Rfam family "Bacterial small subunit ribosomal RNA", at positions 29 to 507 of the family's 1533-position model. The record is from RNAcentral.